AGUUGGGCACUCUAGAGAGACUGCCAGGGAUAACCUGGAGGAAGGUGGGGAUGACGUCAAAUCAUCAUGCCCCUUAUGCUUAGGGCUACACACGUGCUACAAUGGGUAGUACAGAGGGUUGCCAAGCCGUAAGGUGGAGCUAAUCCCUUAAAGCUACUCUCAGUUCGGAUUGUAGGCUGAAACUCGCCUACAUGAAGCUGGAGUUACUAGUAAUCGCAGAUCAGAAUGCUGCGGGGAAUGCGUUCCCGGGUCUUGUACACACCGCCCGUCACACCACGGGAGUUGGAGACGCCCGAAGCCGAUUAUCUAACCUUUUGGAAGAAGUCGUCGAAGGUGGAAUCAAUAACUGGGGUGAAGUCGUAACAAGGUAGCCGUAUCGGAAGGUGCGGCUGGAUCACCUCCUUUCUAAGGAGA
This 414-nucleotide ribosomal RNA is filed under the name Clostridioides difficile. RNAcentral describes it as "bacterial SSU rRNA". It matches the Rfam family "Bacterial small subunit ribosomal RNA", at positions 1129 to 1533 of the family's 1533-position model. Lineage: Bacteria; Bacillati; Bacillota; Clostridia; Peptostreptococcales; Peptostreptococcaceae. The record is from RNAcentral.